AUCGCUCUCGGCCUUUUGGCUAAGGAUCAGUGUAGGAUCUGGUUCUUAUCAGGUUUACCUCUGAUACGUCCUCUAUCCGCGGGACAAUAUAUUAAAUGGAUUUUUUUGGCAGCAGGCGGAAAGAUGAAAUAAGGGGGCUUUGCAUGCGUCGCGAACUCAGCGCAUCGACACGGUUGUUUAUUGCAGUAAUUCCGGGAACGGUUGCACCCCCU
This 212-nucleotide small nuclear RNA is filed under the name Felis catus (domestic cat). Its description in RNAcentral is "U2 spliceosomal RNA (ENSFCAG00000048309.1)". It matches the Rfam family "U2 spliceosomal RNA". From Rfam's summary of the family: U2 is a small nuclear RNA (snRNA) component of the spliceosome (involved in pre-mRNA splicing). Complementary binding between U2 snRNA (in an area lying towards the 5' end but 3' to hairpin I) and the branchpoint sequence (BPS) of the intron results the bulging out of an unpaired adenosine, on the BPS, which initiates a nucleophilic attack at the intronic 5' splice site, thus starting the first of two transesterification reactions that mediate splicing. Lineage: Eukaryota; Metazoa; Chordata; Mammalia; Carnivora; Felidae. The record is from Rfam by way of RNAcentral.